CAGGUGCUGCAUGGCUGUCGUCAGCUCGUGUUGUGAAAUGUUGGGUUAAGUCCCGCAACGAGCGCAACCCUUAUCCUUUGUUGCCAGCGGUCCGGCCGGGAACUCAAAGGAGACUGCCAGUGAUAAACUGGAGGAAGGUGGGGAUGACGUCAAGUCAUCAUGGCCCUUACGACCAGGGCUACACACGUGCUACAAUGGCGCAUACAAAGAGAAGCGACCUCGCGAGAGCAAGCGGACCUCAUAAAGUGCGUCGUAGUCCGGAUUGGAGUCUGCAACUCGACUCCAUGAAGUCGGAAUCGCUAGUAAUCGUGGAUCAGAAUGCCACGGUGAAUACGUUCCCGGGCCUUGUACACACCGCCCGUCACACCAUGGGAGUGGGUUGCAAAAGAAGUAGGUAGCUUAACCUUCGGGAGGGCGCUUACCACUUUGUGAUUCAUGACUGGGGUGAAGUCGUAACAAGGUAACCGUAGGGGAACCUGCGGUUGGAUCAC
This 491-nucleotide ribosomal RNA is filed under the name Escherichia coli. Its description in RNAcentral is "bacterial SSU rRNA". It matches the Rfam family "Bacterial small subunit ribosomal RNA", at positions 1035 to 1526 of the family's 1533-position model. RNAcentral also lists the same sequence under 1 other name. Lineage: Bacteria; Pseudomonadati; Pseudomonadota; Gammaproteobacteria; Enterobacterales; Enterobacteriaceae. The record is from RNAcentral.